Molecule: ribosomal RNA, 119 nt
Filed under: Pteropus alecto (black flying fox)
Lineage: Eukaryota; Metazoa; Chordata; Mammalia; Chiroptera; Pteropodidae
Source: RNAcentral
AUCUCUGGCCGAGCCACCCUGAAUGUGCCUGAUCUUGUCUGAUCUCAGAAGCUAAGCAGGGUCAGGCCUGGUUAGUACUUGGAUGGGAGACCACCUAAGAAGACCAAAUGCUAUCGGCG